RNAcentral lists this ribosomal RNA (471 nucleotides) under uncultured organism. RNAcentral's name for it is "bacterial SSU rRNA". It matches the Rfam family "Bacterial small subunit ribosomal RNA", at positions 28 to 507 of the family's 1533-position model. The record is from RNAcentral.
GACGAACGCUGGCGGCGUGCCUAACACAUGCAAGUCGAACGGAAAUACACUAGUAGCAAUACCGGUGUAUUUUAGUGGCGGACGGGUGAGUAAUACAUGAGCAACCUGCCCUUCAGUGGGGGACAACAGCUGGAAACGGCUGCUAAUACCGCAUGAAGUAUUUUGGAGGCAUCUUCGAAAUACCAAAGAUUUAUCGCUGAAGGAUGGGCUCAUGUCUGAUUAGUUAGUUGGUGAGGUAAUGGCUCACCAAGACUGCGAUCAGUAGCCGGACUGAGAGGUCGAACGGCCACAUUGGGACUGAGAUACGGCCCAGACUCCUACGGGAGGCAGCAGUGGGGAAUAUUGGGCAAUGGGGGAAACCCUGACCCAGCAACGCCGCGUGAAGGAAGAAGGCUUUCGGGUUGUAAACUUCUUUUACCAGGGACGAAGAAAGUGACGGUACCUGGAGAAUAAGCCACGGCUAACUACGUG